AAGUCGUAACAAGGUAACCGUAGGUGAACCUGCGGUUGGAUCAUUAACAAAUUCAACAUGAGCUGCGAGGUUUCGGCCUCUCAGCGCUUGAACAAUUUUGUGCACCGUUAAUAAAUUUUUGGGCCGGUUUGCUGUGGCUUUAGCCAGAGCGCGAAGGUGGAGGACUCGCGUCCAACACGCCUGCCCAGCUUAAAAUUAGACCUCAGUAGAAAAACUUGUCUUAAACUAUAAAAAUUGAUUUUUUUGAUAACAAAGAAAAAAACAACUUUUGACAACGGAUCUCUAGGCUCUC
This 292-nucleotide unclassified non-coding RNA is filed under the name fungal sp. RNAcentral describes it as "partial internal transcribed spacer region". The stretch from base 1 to 46 matches the Rfam family "Eukaryotic small subunit ribosomal RNA", at positions 1786 to 1831 of the family's 1831-position model. The record is from RNAcentral. Lineage: Eukaryota; Fungi.